CACAUGCAAGUCGAACGGAGAUAUAACGCUGCAUGAGACUUCGGUCAAAGCUUGUUGUAUCUUAGUGGCGGACGGGUGAGUAACGCGUGGGCAACCUGCCUCAUACUGGGGGAUAACAGUUGGAAACGGCUGUUAAUACCGCAUAAGCGCACAGAGUCGCAUGACUCAGUGUGAAAAACUCCGGUGGUAUGAGAUGGGC
Molecule: ribosomal RNA, 199 nt
Filed under: Butyrivibrio fibrisolvens
Lineage: Bacteria; Bacillati; Bacillota; Clostridia; Lachnospirales; Lachnospiraceae
Description: partial 16S ribosomal RNA
Rfam family: Bacterial small subunit ribosomal RNA
Source: RNAcentral